RNAcentral lists this ribosomal RNA (385 nucleotides) under uncultured bacterium. Its description in RNAcentral is "bacterial SSU rRNA". It matches the Rfam family "Bacterial small subunit ribosomal RNA", at positions 29 to 417 of the family's 1533-position model. The record is from RNAcentral.
AUUGAACGCUGGCGGCAUGCCUUACACAUGCAAGUCGAACGGUAACGCGGGGCAACCUGGCGACGAGUGGCGAACGGGUGAGUAAUAUAUCGGAACGUGCCCAGUAGUGGGGGAUAGCCCGGCGAAAGCCGGAUUAAUACCGCAUACGACCUACGGGUGAAAGCGGGGGAUCGCAAGACCUCGUGCUAUUGGAGCGGCCGAUAUCAGAUUAGGUAGUUGGUGGGGUAAAGGCCUACCAAGCCUACGAUCUGUAGCUGGUCUGAGAGGACGACCAGCCACACUGGGACUGAGACACGGCCCAGACUCCUACGGGAGGCAGCAGUGGGGAAUUUUGGACAAUGGGCGCAAGCCUGAUCCAGCCAUGCCGCGUGCGGGAAGAAGGCCU